AACUUCUAGAGCGCAUGCGUUUCGCCCACCCAGGCCCGGGCGCGGUUAGGGGUGACUCCCACGAUCCCUAGCGGCUGCAGAGUGGAACAUGGCGGCCUCCUUGCCGCUUGCGUUACCAGAGUCCACCCGGCCUCGUGCUUUCUCCGGGCGCCCGUAGCUGGCGCCGGCAUCCACAAAAAUAGAUCAGGUAAAGCAGCAGAGUAAGGCAUAGGAAGACUUGGUCGGGCUCCGCGGCCCCUCUUUACCGGAUUGGAGGCUGCGCGGGUGAAAUCGAGCUUUAAACUCCCCUGGCCUCGGAACACCAUUUGUAGCCUCUGAAGGAGGAGGACUUAUAAGAUUCUGUACUAAGGCAGCCGUGGGAAGGGAGGAGAACCAGGUCGGCCCGCGCGCUCCCGGCUGCUUUUGCUCUCCCUUUGGUUUCGAAAGCGUCAAGUCCCAAGACAGAGGAUGAAUAAAGAGGAAGCUCCAGGCUGUGAAGCGUCUAGUCCUUGCUCCCCUCAGAAGCUGGGACAUGUUGGACCAAGGUGGUAAGGAUAGUGAGUUUCCCAGAAGCUGGACAAGCCACGACGGCGCCUUCCAAUAAAAGGGGAACUCCAGAGACGCUAUGAGAAAAGAGGAACAGACAUCUGCAAUAGAUAUCUGCAACUUCCUUUUCAAAAACACCAUCGGCAUUGCUUUCUCAGGAAGCCACUGCCAGCCUAUUGUGAUAGCUGACACUGAGUUCCUGAGAAUUCUCUAAUUAGGAUCCCAGAUUGGAGGGUCAGCCAGUGGUUAACAUAUAAUGGACACAAAACUGAUUUUACUGGAAGACUGAGGGUGGGCACUCACCAUGGUUCUAAGCAUUCAUUACUCAGAAGAUCCAUAAAAACAUUACAGUUCUGUUGUGUAAGAGUUUAGGAAAAAAAGAAAAUCCUGACAAAAAUCCCAACCUAAAAAACAGUGUCAACAUUUGUAAGUAGGAUGGGGAGGCAGAGAUGAAUUGGCAGUGUUAUCACAGCUACUGGACUAUGUGGACUUUAACAAAGUAAGAAACGGGUGGGGGUUGGGUGGUGGUAUCUUAAUAGAGCAGGAGUAGAGACGGAUGUCCUGGGGCAGAAUGGGUACCAAUGCUGCCUGAAGCCUGGAGCUGGGAGCUGAGGACUAAGAGGUAGACAGGAGGGUGGGGACCGGUACCUGCUCCAAGGAACUGGUGCCCCAGAACUGGUGAGCUGGGGUAUGCAUUUAGCUCAUUCGUUUACCAGAAUGCAGUCACCACCUGAUGAAAGAAAUGACUAAUGGCAGGACUUGAACAGUUCUCUAUAAAUGAGUACCUGGGAGAAAAACAGGUCUCCAGGCUCCACAAUACCCAAUAAACACACUGCCUUUAGCCCACUUCAAGCUGCACUUCUUACAUGGAACCCAACCCAACCAACCUCAGAGGUAAGGGUGAGAGCAGGCAAUGAACAGCUAUGAUUCUCCAUUCCCUGGCCAGGCAGGGAGCCUUUCCAUCCACCCUCGUGAGACUGCUUGUAACAGAAAUAAGGAAACCGACUCCAAGGCUCAGUAACCCACCCAAGGUCAGAACCACGGAGUGGCAGGGCCUGUGAGCCACAAAGGAGACUGAAAACCAGAAAGAGCUUCUCUCUGGUCUGUUAUUUUAAGAAAAACAUGCCCAGAGGGGCCACCUGGAAGCAAGGCUGUGUGGCACCCUCACCUUCCUAAUUAAACAACAACUUCCCAGGAGCAACGACAGCAACAACAGCCUGGCCCAGCAGAUGAACUCGAAUCAAUCCAAGCCCUUCCCCUAUACGGGUCAGUUUGGGCACUACUUUACCUGCUGUGAAGUCUACUGGGAUCUUCCAGGAAAGUCCCACCUCAUUAGUAAAAAGAAAAACAAAGACUCGGGAAGAAAGUUCCUGCCCUCCCUGUUGAAUGCUGUGUGAGGAUAAGAUGUCUGGAGCAUGGCAGUCACCCUGUGACUAUCAGAAGGCCAGGCGUACCACAAGGUGGUCAUUCCAGUGCUCUGAAUCAGCCCCAAACCACUUCCCUCAAGACUCAUGUUCUGAGGUGAUUAAAAGUGUGCUUUGAAGGUAAAUCUAGGAUGACAGUCAACAGAUCAGUGAUUGCCAGGAGUCAGGGGUAGAGGGAGGGAAGAACAGAUGGAGCACAGAGAAUUUUUAGGGCAGUGAAAAUGUUCUGUAUGAUACUAUAUAUAAUGGAUACAUGCCAUUAUACACUUGUCCAAAUGCACAGAAUGUACACCACCAAGAGUGAACCCUAAUGUAAACUAUGGACUUUGGGUGAUCAUGAUGUGUCAAUGCAGGUUCGUCAAUUGCAACACACGUACCAUUCUAGUGGGGGGUGUUGAUAACAGGAGGCUAUGCAUGUGUGGGACCAGGGGAUAUAUGGGAAAUCUCUGUACAUGCCUCUCAAUUUUGCUGAGAAUCUGAAACUGCUCUUAAUGAAGUCUUACAAAAAUAAAGAAGUCUGCUUUGCCUUAAAAAAAAAAAAAAAAAAAAAAAAAAAAAAA
Molecule: long non-coding RNA, 2509 nt
Filed under: Homo sapiens (human)
Lineage: Eukaryota; Metazoa; Chordata; Mammalia; Primates; Hominidae
Description: SDCBP2 antisense RNA 1 (SDCBP2-AS1)
Source: RNAcentral